CCGCUGAUUGCAACCUCAGCCUGGCGGCUGGCCAACAAGCAGUAGUCACUGAGUCGUUAUAACUCACUGAGUCAACUUCCGCGAGUGAUUCAAUUUCACCAAACCCUAGUGGGGUGGGGGUGUGGUAAAGUGAAAUGCUGAGCUGGUAAUGGGUAAAAAAAAAAACUGAGACCCACCACUCAUCGUGUGUCUCCACAGUGUCUUCACAUUUGUUUUUCUCUCUCGCUCGUACCCUUUUCAUUUUCACUUGCCUUUUUGU
This 259-nucleotide unclassified non-coding RNA is filed under the name Hevea brasiliensis (rubber tree). The record is from RNAcentral. Lineage: Eukaryota; Viridiplantae; Streptophyta; Magnoliopsida; Malpighiales; Euphorbiaceae.